Molecule: long non-coding RNA, 334 nt
Filed under: Dermacentor andersoni
Lineage: Eukaryota; Metazoa; Arthropoda; Arachnida; Ixodida; Ixodidae
Description: uncharacterized LOC126531331
Source: RNAcentral
AGGCACAAGAUCUGAUGUGCAACAGAACUUUCCUGUUGCUUGGGCAUGGCGCAUUAAGGUGCAAACGUUGCAACAAACAGCUAGGAGCUCAUUUUAAAUGGCAAUACAAAAGAAAUGCAUUACUCACACGGAUCUGGUAAAUAGUCAUCUUGUGGCACCUCGGAUAUUACUAUACAAGGUCACCAGGCAUGCAUACAAAAAUGGGUGACUAGACAAUUAGCCUCAGUAACUUGUGAACUAGCCUUACCUUGAAUAAACAAAAGUGUAAGCUAAAGAAAGAAAAUCUCUGUGUAGGCCAGUUCCUUUUGCAGGCAGGCAGAGAAACAAGAACAGA